AGGAACUUCUUUAAGAGGUAUCUAGAACAAACCACUCACAUUCUCUUUUUUAAAAUCUCUUCUUCUAUCUUGUUUUCUGGAAUGUACAUGCUGCCUUGAAUAAUGAAGACAAAGAGAGAGAGCUGGAAGUAUUUGGAAGCUCUAAACUACUUUUCCACUGCUGAACUAUAAUGUUUCUGACAUUUAUACAGGUAUAUUCGGAGGAAUGAAGAAGGAUUCUUUCUAUUACCUUUAUCCAUUUCCUAGACAUCUAAGAUGAGGACUGUGGAAGGACUAAAGGGGAGAAAGAAAAAUGGCAGCUAAGAAUAUCACAGGAAAAUGGACAGAGUGAAGGAUGAACUGCUUUCCACUCAAGCAUAGCAGAGGGCAAAACAAUAAGAGAAAUAAAUUGGGAAGAGAUAUGGGAAAGUGAGCUCACUGGGGAUGAGAGCCUCUCAACAACUUUUUUUUUCUUUUGUCCUUUUAGGGCCACACCCGUGGCAUAUGGAGGUUCCCAGG
This is a non-coding RNA of Sus scrofa (pig), 498 nucleotides long. The record is from RefSeq and is a predicted model, not a curated record. NCBI's taxonomy places the organism in Eukaryota, Metazoa, Chordata, Mammalia, Artiodactyla, Suidae.